AUUAUUUUAGGCACACUACCUCCGCCUCCAACGCACUCUAGACCCCGCCCGUCCCCGCGUCGCUGUGGCGCACUCGCGGAAGGGGUGGUGGAGGGGGCAGCACGAAAGGCGGCUGGGGGUAGUAGAGCGAGAGUGCGUGUGGGUGUGGCUGUGGCGGUGGCGGCUGCGGCGGUAAAAGAGGUAAAUAACUGCCCUUUGGAGGAGAGGCGAGGGGGAGUGGAGUUGGUGGCUGCGGUGGCAGGGAGCAGGAGGAGAGGCGGCGCACGGCGCGUGCCUAAAGUCUUUAAUGUCAAGUUAUACCGCUGUGGGAUGUGUGGAUUCUCGUAGGAGUAAUGUCCUCGACGACCAAAGUAGCGAAGGGUACAGUGUUUGGCGUAACAUGCCUUGAUGGGACUAAUGUUCUAACAGCAGGAACUGUUCGAACUAAUGACGAGGUUAGACUUCUUGGAAGAGGGACGGUUGAGCAGUGGUUUGAAGUUCAAACAGUUCCCGCUAUAACGGUCACGACUAGAACAGUUGAAGGAGGACCAGUGUCUCUUGUAACUAUGUUAUUACGUGAAACGUCGGGUCUGUGUACAACUGUUAAGAAAACCAUUGAGGAAACUUAAGUGGUUCUUGUUGUAAAUACCAUGAGUACAAGAAGAACUUCGAACGUUCCAGUGACCGGUCUAGUCCUCCAAGUAGGUGCAAUCGUGACUACUCCAGAUACCGCUCUGACUACUCCUACGUCACCAACCAUUGGUACUCCGGAGUGUCGACGAGGGGUGUUUAGGAAUAAGUCGGUGGUUUCGACCUCGUCUCUACGAACAGUACCGAAUACCCUCUAGGAUACCAGACGGCCAGUAGUGAUGGGCCCCUUUAUUACACAUACCAGGAUUGGUCAAAGGACUUUUCGAAUAAGGCUUCAAGUAAGAAAACCGAUACUCUCCUUUCGGGGAGGGUUAAGUACCACUACCUAGGUUACAGGCUUCGAUGGAGAUAACACUCCUACAACGACUCCGAAAACUUCAGUAAGAAGUAGCACCUCUUCAACCUGUACAAAUGUUGUAACCUUGUUUCUCUCUCUCCUGUCAGUGACUACACCGUUUCCUACAGACGUCCGAAAAGUUAGAACUUCGACUAUUUCAUUAGGUCAACCAGCUAUUAUCUGGAAAGUUACUAGUCUCCAUAAAGAACCUACUACUCUUCGAGUUCUCAGAACCCACCAGACUCGCGUGAUCUACCCUCCUCCCGGACUCCUUCUGUUACCUUACCAUACAUCGAUUAAGACUGAUAACCCCACUACAAAGACCACGUGACAACGGAGUAGGCUCCUGUGACUACUACGGACCCAUACUCCCGAGACUCCUUUAAUUUCCUUACGAUUUAGACAAAUGAUUGUUAGUUUGCUUCUACCACCGAGGUUGUAGUCUUCCAAGAAGGGUUUGAGCAAACGAGUUCAAGAACUAUAUACCGGCCUGUCCUACCUAACCACCUGAAGAACCGUUUUAUACACUCUUCGUUCCUUAAGGUAUGCUCAUGCCUUUUCCAGCGAACCUUCUCGCGAAAAGGUAACAGGAACUAUAGGUUUGACAAUUCGGUUGUGUACAGAAGUUACGACGACCACAAUGACCGUCUGGGUUACAACUGACCACACUCAGAGUGUUCGGUCUGUGGUAUGCAUGGUUACAACACCCGUGGAACUGAGAUCGACUACAAACAGCCCUCGUACCCAAUAACCACUAUUUGAUACGGUGACCCACGUAUAAACUUAUACUACGUUUAGUAGGACUUCCCAGUCCGUAGCCGAAGUUUCUUCUCCUAUUUGGUUUGAAGUGACCAAGUAAGAUGAGUUUCUGAUUCCGUUACCAGCUCCUUGACAACUUCCUCAUGCUCUUACAGACGUGAGACGCUCAGGCCUACGGUUAUAGCAGACUGGAGUUGUUAGGGGCUUUGAAGUAUUGUUUCUAAUCGGCAAUACUGUUCCACCAUUUGUAGGGUUUGUCGUACUGACAUAACCUACUCGAAAACGGUUAAAGUCAACUCUACCGUUUUUCCUUGAACGCCCCGUAGACCUUGAAGUGGUUAGGACCGCACCAGUCGGUGUUACUCUAAGACCUCUACAUAUUCUUCAUGUACCUAGGGUCGAUGUUCACCUGUUUGAAGUGCGAUCUUCUUGUCCGAUUCCAGUAACAACGUGGAGCCUCGUUGUUGCUCUACCUGCGCUGUUUUGACUUCUCUCUCAAGGGGCUCGACGAUAGCUAGUUUCUGAGCAACUAGUUCAUACAGAAACUCGGGUUGUCCUUCCAGGGUCGUUGAACUUUCGGUCUUGUCGUAUACAGACAAUAUCUAAGUGUCGUAGCAAACCGUCAGACGACCACCGUCGUUCUAUAGAACAUGGUACUAACAAGGCUUACUUACAGCUCAUGUGAACAUAUGGAAAAUUAGACUAAUGGUAAAAACCACUUACUAGCCCGUUGGACACGAGACUGUUUUCGUAAACCUGUUCGUAAAAUUGACAAAUUC
Molecule: ribosomal RNA, 2505 nt
Filed under: Triticum aestivum (bread wheat)
Lineage: Eukaryota; Viridiplantae; Streptophyta; Magnoliopsida; Poales; Poaceae
Description: partial small subunit ribosomal RNA
Source: RNAcentral